UUUGACCAAGACCUGGGUCCUGGCAUAGAAUAUUUCAUUCCCCACACAUUCAUAGUAUCGUCGGUCGUCCGUAGAUCGAUGUCCUUACAAACAGUUCCAAACUAACAUGCAAAUGUGUAUCAUCAUUAUUAUUGUUACUACUUUUUAAUUAGGUCCGGCGAAUCUGAAUGGUAGAGGGAGAGAGAAUGGGGUAGGGACUGAUUGGGCCCGUCCACUUCCUUCUAAGCGAGGAGGCAGCACACGGCGAGCAGCGAUGCUCGAGCCGAUUCUGACAACAACGACGCAAAGCGUUCAAUCACGGCCGAGGAGGAGGAGGAGGCUUGUUGUUUUGAAUCGGAGCAAUAGCCUCUUCUCGGAGCCAGUUCUCCUCAGCGCAACAGACAUGGCUGCUGGAGUGGCUCGCAGAUCGUCGCCAUAGCCACAGCAAUGGUGCAGCCAGAGCCACUGGGUGCGCUUCACUGACUGCACGAGAAGCAGGAGGAUGGAACGGGCCGGGCCCGGUUGGGUCGGGACGGGACGGGUGGGGAACCGACCGUUGCGGUACGUGGCCGAGCCACGUGUG
This 562-nucleotide long non-coding RNA is filed under the name Physcomitrium patens. Its description in RNAcentral is "long non-coding RNA (PPAT_LNC013227)". Lineage: Eukaryota; Viridiplantae; Streptophyta; Bryopsida; Funariales; Funariaceae. The record is from RNAcentral.